AUGAAAAGGGAGACCAAUCCGGAGAGCGGCAAGCUGCUCUACUAUGUGGAGUACGUCGACGAGGAGAGGAAGAGGGAGCACCAAGCGUUCCGGUCCCAGGCCGUUGUUGUAGAGA
This 115-nucleotide non-coding RNA is filed under the name Chloropicon mariensis. Lineage: Eukaryota; Viridiplantae; Chlorophyta; Chloropicophyceae; Chloropicales; Chloropicaceae. The record is from RNAcentral.